Molecule: ribosomal RNA, 813 nt
Filed under: Escherichia coli
Lineage: Bacteria; Pseudomonadati; Pseudomonadota; Gammaproteobacteria; Enterobacterales; Enterobacteriaceae
Description: partial 23S ribosomal RNA
Rfam family: Bacterial large subunit ribosomal RNA
Source: RNAcentral
AUGGGGGGACCAUCCUCCAAGGCUAAAUACUCCUGACUGACCGAUAGUGAACCAGUACCGUGAGGGAAAGGCGAAAAGAACCCCGGCGAGGGGAGUGAAAAAGAACCUGAAACCGUGUACGUACAAGCAGUGGGAGCACGCUUAGGCGUGUGACUGCGUACCUUUUGUAUAAUGGGUCAGCGACUUAUAUUCUGUAGCAAGGUUAACCGAAUAGGGGAGCCGAAGGGAAACCGAGUCUUAACUGGGCGUUAAGUUGCAGGGUAUAGACCCGAAACCCGGUGAUCUAGCCAUGGGCAGGUUGAAGGUUGGGUAACACUAACUGGAGGACCGAACCGACUAAUGUUGAAAAAUUAGCGGAUGACUUGUGGCUGGGGGUGAAAGGCCAAUCAAACCGGGAGAUAGCUGGUUCUCCCCGAAAGCUAUUUAGGUAGCGCCUCGUGAAUUCAUCUCCGGGGGUAGAGCACUGUUUCGGCAAGGGGGUCAUCCCGACUUACCAACCCGAUGCAAACUGCGAAUACCGGAGAAUGUUAUCACGGGAGACACACGGCGGGUGCUAACGUCCGUCGUGAAGAGGGAAACAACCCAGACCGCCAGCUAAGGUCCCAAAGUCAUGGUUAAGUGGGAAACGAUGUGGGAAGGCCCAGACAGCCAGGAUGUUGGCUUAGAAGCAGCCAUCAUUUAAAGAAAGCGUAAUAGCUCACUGGUCGAGUCGGCCUGCGCGGAAGAUGUAACGGGGCUAAACCAUGCACCGAAGCUGCGGCAGCGACGCUGAUGCGUUGUUGGGUAGGGGAGCGUUCUGUAAGCCUGUGAAGG